This is a small nuclear RNA of Balaenoptera musculus (blue whale), 116 nucleotides long. Its record names the gene U5. It matches the Rfam family "U5 spliceosomal RNA". From Rfam's summary of the family: U5 RNA is a component of both types of known spliceosome. Lineage: Eukaryota; Metazoa; Chordata; Mammalia; Artiodactyla; Balaenopteridae. The record is from Ensembl.
AUACUCUGGUUUUUCUGCAGAUCAUAUAAAUCUUUCACCUUUUACUAAAGAUUUCCCUGGAGAGGAACAAUUCUGAGUCUUUCCCCAAUUUUUUGAGGCCUUGCUCUCGCAAGGCU